CACGGAGUUAGCCGGUGCUUAUUCCUCUGGUACCGUCAAGUGAGAAAGAAUUCCCUUUUUCGUCCCAGAUAAAAGAAGUUUACAAUCCAGAGGACCUUCAUCCUUCACGCGGCAUGGCUGGUUCAGACUUUCGUCCAUUGACCAAUAUUCCUUACUGCUGCCUCCCGUAGGAGUCGGGCCCGUGUCUCAGUGCCCGUGUGACUGGUCGUGCUCUCACACCAGUUACUGAUCGAAGGCUUGGUAGGCCGUUACCCUACCAACUACCUAAUCAGGCGCACGCCCAUCCAAAACCGCCGGAGCUAUAAUAAUAAAGUGAUGCCACUUCAGUAUGUUACGGUGUAUUAAUCCUCCUUUCGGAGGGCUAUUCACCAGUUUUGGGAAAGUUGCGUACGUGUUCCGCACCCGUUUGCCGGUCGCCACCAGGUAUUGCUACCCGUGCUGCCCCUCGACUUGCAUGUAUUAAGCCUGCCGCUAGCGUUCAUCCUGAGCCAGGAUCAAACUC
This 502-nucleotide ribosomal RNA is filed under the name uncultured Chitinophagaceae bacterium. RNAcentral describes it as "partial 16S ribosomal RNA". The record is from RNAcentral. Lineage: Bacteria; Pseudomonadati; Bacteroidota; Chitinophagia; Chitinophagales; Chitinophagaceae.